AUACUUACCUGGCAGGGGGGUCCUGUGAUCACGAAGGUGGUUUUCCCAGGGCCAGGCUUGUCCAUUGCGCUCCCGGUACGCUGACCCCUGCGAUUUCCCCCAGAUCUGAGAAACUCGAAUGCGUAGUUCGUUGCAGUGGGGGACUCCAUUUGUGGUCUCCCCUG
This is a small nuclear RNA of Pteronotus mesoamericanus, 164 nucleotides long. RefSeq annotates it as U1 spliceosomal RNA. The record is from RefSeq and is a predicted model, not a curated record. NCBI's taxonomy places the organism in Eukaryota, Metazoa, Chordata, Mammalia, Chiroptera, Mormoopidae. The transcript has a single exon.